CUAACCCCGCAAAUACAAUACAUACUGUGCAGUAUGUACUAACGGCGGUAGCAAUAGUCCUUCUCUGCCGCUACCUAUGCACUCACCUGCCACCGGAUAAACUCGUUGGGGUUUAGUGAAGAUGAGUUCUAUCACCGAGCUAACGAAACUUCCACCAUCCAUGCAACCCCCUGUAUGUUACAGCGUCGUCCUUGUCUCACCCUGAAGGCUAUGGUCCCCGUGUUGGAGCACCUUUCCCGUUAUCCGAAGUCUCCGUGCAUAGAUACAAAGAACAAUAGGUACCACCAGUAUCCGUUGUAAACGUUCUAUGCUCGUUAAGGGACAGGAAAUUGGUUCUUAUUCAUUGAAGAUGGAGCCCAGACUUCAGGGUAUCAGAACUCUCCUUCGUACAGAACUUGCCUUCAUCGAGAACUCGCCUUCGUACAGAACUCGCCCUCGUACCAUCGUUCCAGCGCACUUCAUCUCAGGGAUGGCACCACAGUGCACUCUAUUGUAUCGGUAAGGAGCACAUAGCAACAUUAGUUUGUUUGGAAACAAGCGGGUGGCUCGAAUGGUCGCCAAUACAACUGUUCAUCUGAAGUUGACAGCACUGAGUCAAGUUAAUGAUCCCUUUCUGGUCAAGUUGUUCAAUCUCAGAUAGCUGCCUCAGAGUCCCAUUCAUCAUAUUGAUAUGAUCAAGCAGAUACAACUCCUGGAAUCAAGUUUCGGAGACUACAAGUCUUAGUGGAUAGUGAGUAAUGCCAGCUACUGUAACUCGUUUCGGUCCUCAUGAGAAAACAGUACUGAACUCUUCCGACAGACGACUUAAAGACUGGAUUCCUUGAACUUGGACAAAAACAUUGUACAUACUGUACCGUA
This 858-nucleotide unclassified non-coding RNA is filed under the name Yarrowia lipolytica. Lineage: Eukaryota; Fungi; Ascomycota; Dipodascomycetes; Dipodascales. The record is from RNAcentral.